GACCAUCUCCUCCCCGGUUUUCCGUGGACGAGCUUUGGGAUCGCCUCUGGCCUUCCUUAAAUGCCUUAGUGUGACGAAACAUCAGUUGUCUCCGUCUGCACUUUAAACCCCUAGUGACUACACUCUUG
This 128-nucleotide unclassified non-coding RNA is filed under the name uncultured Tremellales. Its description in RNAcentral is "sequence contains ITS2". Lineage: Eukaryota; Fungi; Basidiomycota; Tremellomycetes; Tremellales. The record is from RNAcentral.